UUCAACUUUCCUUGAACCUCUGACUGUUAGCGUUCUCUUCCGAGUUAACAUAUUUGGUGUCAGAAGUGGGAUCUGUGACCCUUUUGCUCUUUUCCUGUCGCUGCGUAACACCAACAUAAGGCACAUGCACAAGACUGCUGUGCUCAGUUGUCUUCUAGGUGGCUCUGAGAGAUUUCAGAUAGAGUCCACAGUCCUGAACCUCUCGCCUUUGUCAAGUUUCAAGAUUGUUUCAUCCAGAGAAAGUGCCUUUUUGUUUUUGGUCAUAAGGAUGCCUACAAAUUUUCAGAACCAUGAAGCGAUGCUUUCUUAGCUCUUUCUGUCGGAUGAACAGUAUAUACCUAAAGACGAAAAUGCAGACAUAAGAAACCUGACAUGUGAAUCUUGACCAGAGCUGUGUUGAUGGUCCUAAAUCUCUCCCUGCUUCACCUGUGCCUCAUGAUUACUUGAACCUUGAAAUUAUAGUAAAGCUUGAUACUAGAUGAACUUUUUUAUGGGGAAACAUCCCCUAUCAUCUUCAUAUCAUCCCAACUCCAAGAGACUGAUUUCCAUGCCAGCUCUGAUAUAUAUGUCUGAAUUGAAGACAGAGACUCAAAUAAAUACUUGCAAACUCAUGUUCAUGGAAGCACUAUGAUGAAUAAUAAGAUGAAGAAUAAGAUGAAUAAAUAAGAAAAAAAUUGUGAAAAGUGACAUGCAUCAUAUCCAGGAUAAGCUUUUAGUUGCCCAAUGCGAGAAAUUAAAGAGCUUUCCUCCCUAACAUGGCAACUGAACGUUCAAGAUCGUGAGUGCUCCAUCAGCCUGGGUGACUGAAUGAUUGAGUGUCUAAGAUGAACAAAGUCUCACCUUGAGGGACAUGUCAUUAGAAUGGGAAAACCCUUGCAGUUUUAAGCCACUGAGAUUUUGGGAUUGUUUGCCGUGUAACAUAACCUAGUGGAUCAUAACUA
This is a long non-coding RNA of Equus quagga, 941 nucleotides long. RefSeq lists it as uncharacterized. The transcript is spliced from 6 exons. The record is from RefSeq and is a predicted model, not a curated record. Lineage: Eukaryota; Metazoa; Chordata; Mammalia; Perissodactyla; Equidae.